Cavia porcellus (domestic guinea pig) is the source of this 19972-nucleotide long non-coding RNA. RefSeq lists it as uncharacterized. Lineage: Eukaryota; Metazoa; Chordata; Mammalia; Rodentia; Caviidae. The record is from RefSeq and is a predicted model, not a curated record. The transcript is spliced from 4 exons.
CACGCACUCGCAGAGCAGCGCGCGCCGCUCAGCACAAGCUCUAAGUACUGACUUGCCUCUCUGAAUUUUUAAAUGUGUCAUGCUAACAAUGUCCUAAUUGUUUUUAACUAUAAAUGACUUCGGAUUCCAAGGAUAAAACAAUAUAAGCCAAGUUCAGCAAACUCUGUCCUGGCACAUUUAUCGACUGACGUACACGCGGUUCACUUGGCACAAAGCUUCACUGCAUUAUUUUCAGGAGCCUGGUCCUAAGGCUGACGGGGACAAGUCUUUAAGGGGGUGGUGACCUUAGCUAAGGGACAGGUUAAACACAGGACACAAGACAACAAGACCCUGCCUGCGCUGCCGUCGCCACUGGACGGCGAUCCCGUAUCCGCAGAUCCAAACGCCGCAAGCCUGAAGGUCGGGGUGGUGUCCGCUCGCCGGGUAAACGGCGCCGGGCCUCGCCCUCCCCGCUGCCCGGUUGGCGGGGCGCCCCCUCCGGCUCCUCGGGCUCCAGGGCCGAGGCGGGUGCAGGCCGGGGGUCGCGCCUAGGGGGCGACAGUGUCGCCGAGGACGCGAGGACAAGGGGCGGGGCGACAGCGCGCCCCACCGUGCGCCCAGCCGGCGGGGUGGCCGCGGCGGCGUGAUCGGGCUGCCGGCCCGCCUGUUGCCGGGAGCAGGCGCGGGCGCUCCGGGCCGCCCCGCUCCGCGGCGCCCCCUGCUCGCCCCGGACCCGCACCUGACCGACGGGGCAGCUGCGCGCUCGCCUCCCGGGCCCCACUUCCCGGCCCCGCAGUCGCCCGCCCGGCCCGCCGCCCUACCUGCGUCUGCCUGCGCCGCGGCCAGGAGCGCUCUGCCGCGUCCGCUCAGCCCCGGCCCGAGGUCACCCGCCAGCCGCCGCCCCAGAGGUUGGACUUUCUCUCCCCGCCCCAUCUUCCCCCCACCAGCCCUACUGACACCAAUCCCCGUGGGCGGGCAGAGCCCCGCGCAGCGGCCCCUGCAGUGACCCGCGAUGCCCGUGCCUCCACCCCCUGUGUCCGUGCCACGCUCGGCUUAUCCUCCACUCUUGGGACGCCCAAGUGAUUCCUGUUUGGGGUCUGAGCAGCUGAGUUUCUCCACCUACCUGAAGGCGUCCCUGCCAGCUUUUCCCACUGCCCAGCACUCCCACGUCCUAACUCCUACUCAUUCCUCAAAACCCGGGUCAACUUGCACCUUCUUUUGAAGCCUUCCCCACCCCACCCCCAAGCAGAGUUGUUGUACCCUCUGCUUCCUAAGUGUCUGUCCCUGCCCAGUGUAGUUCUAAAGAAGGUGCAUCACACUAUUGAGAGUUUCUAGAGAGUAAGACCUGCAAGCCCCAUGGCCUGUGCCCACAUUAGCUGGCAACAAGGUAGAUCAAUAAAUGUGAUAAAUGAGAUUUCCUUCCCAAUUGUCUUUUUUUUUUUUUUUUUUCCCCUCAACCAAGUCACUCCUUCCUUCCAUGCCUGCCAUCCCUUUUUUGAAAUACACUUUUCCCUAGGAAUGUGGGCCCUGGGCUUGCAGAGGUGGAGAAAUCACAAGGGCUGGUCCCCUUCCUCCUCUUCUGCUGUUAGCCUUUACUAGCCCUGGCAUGAGUUGCUUCUGUCCAGGCAUCAAGUGGGCACAGAAAAGUCACCAACCCUGAGCUCAUAGAGAACCCUUCCCAGCCUGCCAACUCUUACCCAGUAGGACAGAGAGGAGGGGCCACAGCUGUGUCUCAGGGGCUCCCUGGGGAGCUCUAGGGAGUCUUAGGCACCAAUAAAGCUUGGCAGAAAAAAUGGGAGUGGAAUUGGAAAAUAGUCUCUUGCAUUGGAAGAGCCCCACUCCCUGCCACCCCCCAAGCCAGGACCUUUCUGAGCUUGGUCAAAGGUCCCUGUAAAGGGGAGGAAAAUGCUUCUCCUGUUGCAGAGUGGGGGCAGCGGAGGCCCAAGGAGUUCAGCCUUCUGAUCAGUCCCUGGUUCUCCUCUGACCCCUUCUCAGACGCCCACAGCCCUGAUCUCUCCUAGCCCAGCUGCAAAGAGGCGGGGACAGAAGUGCACACAGGGAUAAAGGCAACCUCGGCCCCAACCAGCCCAGCCCCAGAGAUCCUGGCUCAGGUGGGCGGGAACUUCUCUGCAGGCCUUGUGUCCCUGCCUGCCUCGGCCAGCCACACUGUGGGGAGCACGGUGCCCAGCUUGCGCUCACUGUACAAGAACACAGCAGUUUAGAGAGAAGGGUCCUCUUGUUGCAAAUUCCCUGGAUGCUGGCCCUCUGCCCACUUUGGCUGCACCCAGAUCCUUUCCGUCAGGGGCCAGGGGCUCCCGGGGGCAGCACACCUGGCUUGGAAAGCUGCUCUGCUCUGUGUGAAGCAGGAAAACCUGGUACCAGCCUACUGAGGAAGUGGGGCCAGAUGCCCACUCUGCUCUGCUCUGCUGGCCUCACUCCCAAAUCGUCCCGGCCCUUGUCACGUCUACACUCCAUGGUCUCCAACUUACAACAGUUUGACUGAUAAUUUUUCAACUUCAUGAUGAUGCAAAAUGUGAAAGCAAUACACAUUCAGUAAGAAGAACUUUGAAUUCUGAAUUUGGAUCUUCUCCCUGGCUAGCGAUGUGCAUGCUGAUAUUCCCGUCAACCCCAGUCCCCUGUCAGUCCACCUUCCCACAGGAAGGAGCUGCCAUGUGCCAGAGAUUGGCAUCAUUUAUAGAGUUCGAAAGGGGACUCUCAAGAAAAAAGAAAGCACUGACACCAGAAGGGAAGUCAACUUCAGAAGGACGGAAGACUGGGUGGAACACGGAGUCCUCUUGAGAUCUCUACUUCUGGGACCACCUUUACCCAUAAGGUGAGCCAUCUCCCAGGCUGGCUGCCUCUUUCGGGAAGGUGAAUUCAGUUGCCUGUAUUUGGUGACUGGUCUGAUUUUAAGGCCACCUAACAAAGCUAGGUUCUCUGACAAUCCUGAUAGUAGGUAUUGUCCCAGCAAGCGUGCUGGUGUCUGCAGAACUGACGUCGUUUGUGACAACUUCAUGUCUUCUCCCAAGAAUUCACUUCUGGUUUUCCACCUCUGGCUUCAAAUUUGUGUUUGAUCUGCAAUGUCUGGUUUAAAAUUAUUUUGUGUGAGCACUUUUUUGUUUCAUUUUGAUUAAUGCACAUCUGCAAAUGAUUCUGUUCUUAUACUUUGUUUUUCCUGCUUGUUCCUGAACAUUUUAAGGGGCAAAUAUAAAUACACAGAGCUUGAAGGAUUUUCUUUUGUUUUUGAAAAACCAACAAGUUCCCUAAAUUUUGAAGGCCAGUCAGACCAGGACUUCAUUCUGGGACUGUCACCAGUUGUAGUAUGGUCCAUUCUCAUGCAUGUUAUUUUUAAAUCAAUGGACAAAUGAUACCAAGGAUAAAUUCUUAAAUAACAACUACAGGAUUAAGCAACCUGGGGGGGGGGGAUCUAAUGUUAGAGACUUCCAACCUGUGUCUCUGUUUUUCCUUCUGCUCUGAAUCUGCUGACUUUUUUUUGCCUGUAUUUUAGACAAAAUGCUGUUACUAGUUACAACAAAAUCAAGAAUGUACUCUUGGUAAUUUUUGUUCUUCUAGAAGUUUUUUCUUAGUGCAUUCCAACUAAGAUAAGGAAUAAAAAAAGAGGCUUUCCAAAUUAAUGGCUUUGCAAACUACAGUAGCUCCAUGGCAACCAUCAAUCUAGAUACCUGAGAGUCAUCCCUUUUGGAAAUAUAAGUUUGGGUUUGCGCAGCUAACAAAUGAUUGAGGUGCUAGAACAGUUAAUUAAAUGGUGGAUAGUCUAAAAGGAAAAGAACUAGACAAGCAUUUAUGAAAGUUAAGCCAAGAUCAAACAGUUCAAAAUUUUGAGCUCAGAGCAGUAAUAAAAGGUCUCGGUACACUUGCCUAGCAUGCACAAGGUCCUGGGUUGGAUCCCUGACACAACAGGAAAACACUGUCUAAAAAAGAGAAAAAAAGAAAAAACCCAGCAAUAAUAAAAACUGUUUUCUGCCACAGUAGCAAUACUAGAGAAAAAAGCCCCAAAUGCAAUUGACUAUUUUAAAAACUACUUAAUGUAUUUUCCUAGUGGUGUUGACUAGGCAAGCAAACCAGACUGCCAAAAAUAAAAUAAAAUAAAAAUCUGUUACUAAAAUUUAGAGCUACAUGGAGAUUUUUUUAUUUGUUCAUUUGUAUGUUUGCUUUUGUUUUGAGACAGGGCCUCAUUAUGUAGCCCAAGCUGGCCUCAAACUAACAGUGAUCCUCCUGCCUCAGCCUCCCAAGUGCUGGGCUUACAGGUGUGGGCCACUCAACCCAGCAAGAUUUCGUUUUUCUUAAAUAAUUCAUCUGGCACUUCCUAAAAUCUAAACAUUUGAAAAAUUAACUCCCAAAUUCAUUUAAGAUUUAAAAAUGAGGAAAAGAAGUUUAUUAAAAUGAAAUUGCAGUUCUGGGAUGAUGGUGAACAGCAAAGAAAGAGCCUCUCCAAAAUUCACUGUCCAGACGUUAUAAUACAGCAAUGUGAGGAAGAGAAGAAAGAGGAAAGUGGGGUUGAGCAAGGAUCUGAAGCAAAAACUGAAGUGCUCAAGGACAUCAGAGACUUCAGUGAAGCGAGUGACAACCAUCGCUUUCUCCCUAAACCCUGACUGUCUGCAUAGGAGGAGUAACUAGAACCUGCAGAAGCACGGUAACCAUGGGUGACCCCAAGGCCUCUACAGAGAAAAGAAGUAGAGGAACUGAGCAGUGGACACAGAAGACUAUGGCGACUGGUGAAUUACUUUGGUUUAGACAUCUCCCGGGAGAGGGCAAUUGGCCAGUAACCACCUUGGAGAGAGGCUGAGUUCAGAACUCAGAACAACUACAGGCUGCUGACCCCAGUGUCAGGGUGAGGUAGAAACAAGGUUAAGUCAGCAGGAGGUCCAGGAGAUGAGUUCAGACUGGCAGGAGGCACAUGGAGUGUUGCAGGCUGAACAAACAGAGUUCCACCCUCAGAGCCAGAAACCACCCUGAGCUUCAGUGGACAGAAAGUACAGGCUUGCUAGGAUUAUCCACUAGCCUGUUAUAAACCUACAGCUGGCUUUCUGGGGUUAAUCAACAGAGAUCUGAACUCUGCCUACUUUGUCUACCAGUGACAACAAAGAAACCUUGAAGGGGACAUUUGUAUUUCUUUGUUUCUUCAUUAUUUUUGUUUCCUUUUUUCUUGAUUGCUUUUAUUUUUAUAUGAAUGCAAACAUGCUUUCUAGUUUUAUUAUUAUUAUUCUGUUCUGUUCUUUUCUUUCUUCUCUCCCUCCUUUUUCACCAGUUUCCCAAAAUCUGUGUGAUCUUCCUUUGUCCUCUAGCCUUCCUUAUAAUCUCUUCUUCUUCUUUCUCUUCUUCUUCUUCUUUCUUCUUUCUUCUUCUUUUUCUCUAUUUUCCCCCUAGCUCCUUUUAAGUUUUCCCCAGUGAGGGUAAAAUUGCCAUACCGAGGGCAUAUUUACUAUAAAUGAUUUUUUGGUUUGUUUUAGAUCUGGUUAUAGAACCACAAAUCUAGUUCAUAUGGUUAAAGGUGGCAGUUACUACAGUUUGUCAUUUUCUGUGUUAUUGUUCCUGGUAUGCCAAGGCUAAGCUUGUCUAAGAGUCAUAAAAAUUACUAUAGGUCAGUGCAAAAGAACCACCAGCAAAACCAGGUAAGCAACAACUUCUCAUCCCCAACAAACUGAAGAGGUGGGUCCUUGCAAUAGACUCAAAACCCAAAAGCCAGCUACACCUAGAAGACAUCUUUGAGAAGUAGGCAUUUCCUAAGACUGCUAAAUACUGGCAAUAAAGUUACUUGCCAUAAGCAAUACAUAAGCACCAACCCAGAAAUUAAACUAAAAAAUAACAGAAAAUGAGCAGAUACUUAAGCAAGAUGCAACCCAACUUCCAGUUCAUCAAAGGCAAACCCAGUGGGUAAUGAGGUGGAACAAUUCAAAAGCCGCCCACCUGGACCCUCUAAAGUAGUAACAGUGGAUAUAACAAAGCAAAUGAAUGAGGCUCUAGAAAAAGACCAAUUGAAAUAAUUUCUCAGAUAACUAAAAUAAUUUCUCAGGGAUGGUGACCAUAAUGAAAGACAUGGUUAGAAACUCGAGAGCAGAUAGAGAUUCUAAAGAAUAGAAGAGCUUUGGAAACUGAUGAAAAUCAUGAAUACCCAACAUAGGAAAAAAUGGAAUCCAUGAAAUAGAUUCAAACAGAUUGCAUCAGAUUAAAAAUUCCAUUGAAAGUAAAUGCAGAGAAUGAAGCGAUGUGAGGACAGAAUAUCAGAUACAGAAGACAGGAUUGCAGUUAGCUAUCACAAAAAGAAAAAAUUCUUAAAAAUAAUAAACCAUGAAAAUCAGUCCAACUCAUGAUGCUAGAUGAUUCAAAUAAAAUAAAAGUUUGAAAAAGCAAGAGAUAGCUCAAAUGAGAUUUAAAAAACAAAACAGACGACAACAACAAACAACCUGCUCGCAGAAGUAAUGGCAGAAAACUUCCCAACCUUGGAAAAAGAAUUUGACAUACAGAUAAGUGAGGCACACAGUUUAAAGUUAGCCAUGAUUAAAACAAAAACAAAAACAAAAACACCCCUACACGAAGGCAUUAUUAUAGUCAAGAUUCCAGAAAUUCAAGAGACAGAAUAGUAAAAGAUGCUAGAGAAAAGAAACAAAUUAUCUAUAAAGAUAAACCCAUUAAAAUCACAGCAGACUUCUCAACACAAACUUUCAAGUCACAGGCAGUGUGAAGUAUUUUAAGCCCUAAAAGUAAACCAUCUCCAAGCAUGACUGGUGUAUCCCACAAAACUACCUUUUUCCAUAACAAAGGAUACCAGAAGAAAUUCUUGGCCAGCAAAACAGCAUUCUAAAAUGUUCUAAAGGACAUUCUAGAGAGAGAUAAAAAGGACUAAAACUCCAUGAACCUCAACAGAAUCAAUCCACUAGAUAAGGCAGGCAAUUAAACAGAGGGGCAAAAAAGGGGACCUAACAAUGGGAAAAUUACCUACAAGGAUCAGUUAAUAUAUAUCAGUUAUAACCAUCAUUGUUAAUGGUCUUAAUUGUCCAAUCAAAAAACACAGAUUAACAGAAUGAAUCAAGAAGCAAGAUAAAAAUAUACUUCACAUAAGAAACACAUUUAAUUUUAAAAACUUACAGACUGAAAACAAUAUUCAACGUGACUCAGAAAAAAACAAGUAGCUAUUCUAUUUGCAGAUAACGUGAAUUUCAAUUAAAGACUAAGAGACAAAGAAGGUCACUACAUCCUGGUAAAGGGAACAGUCCAAAAGGAAGAGAUAAUAAUCAUAAAUAUAUGUGCACAAAUACCAGUGUACCCAGCUAUAUAAAGCAAAUAUUAAUGGUCAUGAAAAAUCAAAUAAGCAUUAAUUCAACUGUACUGGGGAAACUUAAUACCCCACUGUCACAAACAGAUCAGCUAGACAAAAAAGUCAACAAAGAAAUAUGAGAACUGAAUCAAACCUUUUAACAAAUGCACCUAGUAGAUGUCUACAGAGUAUUCCACUCCAAGACAUCAGAAUACAUUCUCAUCUGCACGUGGGAAAUUCUCCAAAAUAGACCAUUUAGUAGCUUUCAGAACAUGCUUAAGUAAAUGCAAAGGAACUGAAAUUAUUUCUUGCAUAUUAUCGGGCCACCGUGCAAUGAAAUUGGAAAUCAAUGGCAAAAGAAACCACAGUGUGGUUUAUGAAACCACAUUUCAUAAACACAUGGAAAUUAACAACCUCCUAAACAACCAAUGGGUCACUGAUGCAAAGAAAGAGGAAAUUAGACAGUUUCUAUAAUUAAAUACAAUGUAUCAGAAUUUAUGGGAUGCAGUGAAUGCAGUUCUAUAGCAGUGAAUUACCAUAUCAGAAAAACAGAGUGAGCUCAAAUAAAUCUCAAGCUUCUAGAAAAAGAAGAACAACCCUAGGUCAAAGUUUAUAGGAGGGAAGAAAUUAUAAAAAUUGGAGCAGAAACAAAUGCAAUGGAGACAAAGAAAUACAAAAAAAGCAAUGAAUUGUUUCAUUGAAAGUUUAAAUAAAAUGGAUAAACCCUUAGCGAACCUUAUCAAAAAAGGAAAGACAUGCAAUUGAGAAUGAAAAGGGUGAAAUUACAGCAGACUCCUCAGAAAUCCAGAAGUUCAUCAAUACCUACUUUGAGAACCUGUAUUCUAAGACAAAAAAACACAGAAGAAAUGGACAGAUUCCCAGAUACAAGUGAAUUACUAAAGCUGAAUCAAGAAGAUAUAAAAAUUCUAGGGUGGAAGCCAUUUGGGUCCCAGAAGAAGAAAUGAGCCUUUUCCUGUGAGCUAGCAGAAGCCAUGUGAGUCCCAGAAGAAGAAACAAGAAGCCAAAUUGCCCUUCCUGUGAGCCAGCGGAAGACAUGUUCACAUUUCCCAUGAGCCAACUGGUCUGCAGGCUGGGAGACAAGAACACCCCUCCCUGCUGUAAGCAACUGGCUGAUUCAGAGGAACACUGGCUGAGUUGUUGGCAACUGAGGUACAAAAACAACUUAAUGUUUGUAUGGUUCAGCUGACUUUGCAAGCCUAACAUCAGUAAUCUGAGCAUCUAAAGAGGAUAACAAUACACAAUAUAGCAACAUAGGGGAUUCCCUUCUGUCUUGCUUUUGAAAUCCAAUAUUGUUCUCACUGUUUCAUUUUGUUUUGUUUUAUUCAGUGUUCUUCUUUGAUUGGUUUUAUUCUGUUGCUUUGUUCAAUUUUAUUAUGUCUGAUGGUAUGGGCAGCAAUUUUGAAGGUAACAAGAGGCAUUAUGGUAGCCAUUGUUGAUUUCCUAUUUUCCUGUUUUGAAGUCCUGUAUUGCUUUCACUGUUUUGUUUUGAUUGGCUUUAUUCUGUUUUAUUUUGUUUGGUUUUAUUCUCUUUAAAAUAUAAAUUUAAAAAGUAAGAUAUGAAAAUUCUAAAUAAGGGGCUGGGGAUUUAGCUCAGCGGCAUAAGCGCCUGGCUUGCGAGCAAGUAGUCGUGAGUUCGAUCCCCGGUACCGAUAAAAAGGAAAAAGACAAAAAAAAAAAAAAAAAAAAAAGAAAAGAAAAAGAAAAUUCUAAAUAAACCAGUAUCAGUUGACAGAAUUCAAGAUAAAUAAAAAUCCUGCCAAUGAAGAAAAAGCUCAGGCCCUAACAGAUUCACUGCUGAAUUCUACAAGAAAUUCAGAGGAGAUCUAAAGCUGCUAUUUCUCAAACUCUAAUGAAACUGAAAGGUGAGCAAUACUCCCAAAUUCAUUCCUGAACAAGACAAGGAUGCCCACUGUACUCUUACUUGAUAUAGCUCUGGAAACAUUAGCCAGAGCAAUUAGAUAAAAGAAAGGAAUAAAGAUAGGAAAGGAAGAGGUUAAAUUAUCAUUAUUCGUGGAUGACAUAAUACUCCCUAUGGAAUUCCCCAAAAACUCCAUCAAAAGACUUCUAGAUUUAACAACCAAAUUCAGUUGUAUAGCUGGAUACAAAGUCAACACUCAAAAAUCAUUAAUGUUGGGCUGGGAUUUAGCUCAGUGGCAUAAGCGCCAGCCUGGCAAGCGCGAGGUCAUGAGUUCAAUCCCCAGUACCACCAAAAAAAAAAAAAAAAAAAAAUCAUUAGCGUUCCUGUACAUAAAUAACUUACUGAGAGAGAAAUUAGAGAAACAACACCUUUCACAAUAGCAUCCAAGAAAAAAAAAAACCCAAAACAAAACACACACACAAACACACAACUUAAUACUUAGAAAUCAAUCUAAUGAGAAAGUAAAAGACCUUUACCUUGAAAACUACAGUACUUUGAAAAAUGAGAUUGAAAAGGCUAUCAGAAUAUGGAAAGAGACCCCUUGUUCUUGGCUUGGAAGAACCAUUAUAGUGAAAAUUGACAUAUUUCCAAAAUUGUUAACAGGUUUUAUGCAAUCCCAAUGAAAAUACCAAUACAUAUUCAUAGAAUUAGAAAAAACAUCCUAAAAUUCAUUUGGAACCAGAAGAGACCUAGAAUAGCAAAAGUAAUUCUGGGUAACAAAAGCAAGGCAGGGGCAUCACCAUCUCUGACGUGAAACUGUACUACAAAGUCUCUGUGGUAAAAACAACAGAGUACUGGCAAAACAUAGAGCCAGGGUCAAUGGAACAGAUUAGAAGAUACAGAAACAACUCCAGACAUACUCAGCUACCUUAUUUUUGGCAAAUAUUUUAGCUGAAAGCAAGACAGCCUCUUUAAUAAAUGGUGCUGGAAAACUUGACUUUUCAGAUGAUAAAAAACUAUACUCAUAUCUUUCACCAUGCACUAAACUAAAAUCAAAAUGAAUCAAAGAUCCAAAUAGUAAGCAGAAACACUAAAUCUGCUGGAAGAUAGAAUAGAUGGAACUCUUGAAGACUUUGGUAUCGGCAAAACUGACACCAAACAAAGCCAGAAUUACACAGGAAAUAUCACAAAGAAUUAACAACUAGGAUCUCACCUUAUCAGAAAGUUUCUGCACAUAAACCAACAGAAAUAAACCAACAAAAUAAAAGAGACAAUAUUUUUCCCAAAAUGUGGGAAAAAAUUUUGUCAGCCGUUCCUCAAAGGACUAAUAUUUAGAAUAUAUAAAGAACUAAAAAAAAAAAAAAAGCCUCCCCCCCCCCAAUUAAAGCUCCAACUCAAAACUGGGCAUCUGAACUGAAUAGAUGCUUCUUAGAUGAAGAAGAAGCAGAAAAUAGAUACAUGAAAAAGUGUUUACCACCACUGGGCUUUUGAGAGAUUCAAAUUAAAACAACACUGAGAUUCCAUCUCACCCCAGGAUGAAUGAUGAUUACCAAGGAAUCAACCAAUAACAAAUGCUGGUGGGCUGUGUGGAAAAAGGAACACUUUCCACUGUUGGUGGCAUGUAGACUGGUGCAACCACUGUGAGAAUCAGUGUGGACCUUCCGCAAAGAACUAAAACUACAAGUUCCAUUCAACUCAGUUAUUCCCCUCCUUGUUAUCUUCCCAAACAAUUAGUAGCAAUACAUGCAUAUUCAUGUUUAUAGCAGCACAGCUUGUAAUAGCUAAAUCCUGCAAACAGCCCAAAUGCCCAUCUAUCGGUGAAUGGAUAUAGAAGAUGGGGGGAUAGUGCUACUCUGCCAUAAAGAAGGAUAAACUUGAGACAUUUCUUACUAAAUGGAUGUACUUUAAAACCAUACUCUUAGGUGAAAAGAUUUAACAUACAUAUUUAAAUAUGGACUGUUUCUCUGUGUGAAAAACCAAAAAUGUAACAAGAACCAAAGUGUAUAAUAAAUAUUGAGAUAUGGGGGGAAAUGUUCAAAUGAGAAAAGGAAGAAGAAGGGGGAACAAGGAAGAAAAAGAGAAAGAAAAAAAUGGAAACAAACCUUUUGUAAGUAAGGAGAAGAAGGGAGAGGAAGGAAAUGACAUCGAAAAACAAGAUAAAUCACACAGAGGUACAAGUUCACUAUGACGAAUGUUAUCAUUGUGUAUAUCUAAAAUGUAUCAAUUAAAAAAAAGAAAUCACAAACCAGGCAUGGUGGUGAACACCUGUAAUCCCAACUCUUGAGAGGCUGAGCCAGGAGAAUUACCAUAAAUUCAAGGCCAUCCUAGACUACAUCAUAAAUUCAAGGUCAGCCUGAAACACCUAGUGAUAUUUUGUCUCAAAAAACCAGAAACAAGCCAGGUGCGGUGGCUCAAUGUCUAUAAUCCCAGCACUUGGGAGGCCAAGGCACAAAGAUCAUUGCUAGUUCAAGACCAGUCUGGGCUACAAACUGAGUUCAAGGCCAGCCAGAACUACAUAGUGAGACCCUGUCUCAAAAAGAAACAAAAAAGGAAAAACAAACAAAACAGAAAAAAACACCCCAAACCAACCAAACAAAAAACCCAACACCCACCAAGAAAAAUACACUACUUAUAAUUCAGUCCACACAGACUUUACAAGAUUACCUACUAGGAAGAAAUUUUAAAAAUCCUUUAAAGUGUUUCAUAAAUAUUAAAAGCCUUUAACCAUCUGAACAGGUGACCAAACUUACUCCAUUUUGUCAGUUGGAUUCAACUAUUUGAUUUUUGGCAGUAUGGAGGAUUUAACUCAGGGUCUUUGGCGGCUUGAGAUAUAUCUCAGAACUUUUUAACUUUUUAUUUUGAGAAAAGGUGUCUCUAUUUUGCUAAGUUGCCUAUAUUGGCUUAAACUUGUGGUCUUUCUGCCUCAAACUGCUGUUAUUAGUACUGUCUCACUGUCUCAUGACUACAGCUCUGAAAUGGCAGCUCUGUGAUCUGUGCACAUGUAGCUAUAUGGAUUUAUGCAUGUCUAUGUCUUACAUGUUGUUUCUACAUGGUAAAAUUCUUUUUUUUUUUUUUUUGGCUUUUUCAUUUUUUAUCGGUACCGGGGAUCAAACUCACGACCGCCUGCUUGCAAGGCAGGCGCUUAUGCCUCUGAGCUAAACCCCCAGCCCCAUGGUAAAAUUCUUUAAGGAAAUUUAUUCAAAUGAUAAAUGAGCACUCCAUAAAAAUGAUACCCAAAGCUGUUGAAAUAUAUAACAAACCCAAAUAGCUUUUGUACAUAUGACUAAAGCAAAUCUUUGAUAAAGAAGUUAGUUUCAAAUUUGAUAAAAUAAAAAUGAGAACAUCAGUAUCACUAGCACAUUUCAGCUGGAUUUGCUGAUCAGAGUUAUAUUAGUUUCCACUAGAUUUUUUAAAGUCAUAAAACUACAAAUACUGCCCAACAACAAUCUCUAUUCAUGUAAUUCUUUAAUAAGACUAAUAUUAUUUAUUGAAAAGAGCUAUAUUUUUGAGUUAUUGAUAAAAUACCCACAUACUUAAGGUUCUUAAUGUAGGUCAAUAUCAACCAUUUACAUCCUGUAAAUAAGAAAAUGGGUCAGAAUGAUAACUGCUCUUCCCACUUUUGGUAUUUUUAAGAGCAGAGACAGAGGCAACAUGAAUGUCACCCCUUCUUGUAAGAAUAAGGACCCAGCAUAUCUAGUUUCAGAGGUUCUGCCCACCUCUUCCUUUAUUGGAUACAGCUUAAGAGAAUGGCUCUUCAUCAAACACAAUACAUUCCAUGUGUUGUAGGACUCUGAGUAGACAGAGUCCCAAUCUCCUGUGGCUUCUGUAAGACAUUUAGUGAAGGAAGCACAUUUUAAGUAAAUAUGGAAAGAUAUUCGGCUAAUCAAACUUUCCUCUGGAUAAACCUGUAUUAAAAAAUCAAUUAUUUUUGGGUGUCUCUCAAUUUUUGUUUUUCUGAGACAAGGUCUUCCUAAAUUGCUGUAUUGCUUAGGUUGUGGUCAAACUUGUGGUCCUCCUGCCUCAGUCUCCCAGGUGCUCAGAUUACAAACAUGUACCAGCACACCCUGCUUUAUCUUUUUAUUUUUUAAAAGAUGAGUAUUCGCUUUGCAAAGAGAUAUUAAAUUGUCAUAAACAGCUCCACUGAUGCACAAAUACCACUGUAUUCUCAGUAUGCUCUCCCGGCUCCAGCUCUGCCACCGGUGCUAGGAAGUCUCCCAGAGAUUAAAUGGUUGUUUACAUAUUCACAGGUGGGAAAAAAUAAAUCCAUCUACCCAGCCCUUUCUUAGAGGUAAGGUUUAUCUGCAUAUCCUGAUCUUUCUAAACUCCAAUCUUUCCUUAUAAAAAAAGUGUUUUUUAGACCCUGUCUCCCCCGGCUUGCUCACUUGGUUCUAGAAAUUGAAUCCAAGGCCUUCGCAUGGAGUUGAAUCUUGUACAUUUCUUCUUAAGUUUUGAGACAAGGUCUCACUAAAUUGCCCAGGUUAGGCUCAGAUUUGCAGGUCUCCUUCUUCAGCCUUCCAGAAAGCUGGGCUCACAGGUGUAGGCUACUGCGCCAGACUAACCCCAUCUUUUGUGGGUGCUUUUUAUUCUGAAUUUCUGUUCAAUUUACGUAAGUUACCAUUGUGCUCAUGAACUCAAGUGUGGUUGUAGUUCCCGAGGGUGGCAUGAAAUGGGCUGACAGAAAAACCCACAGGGCUUACCUGGUGAUACAGAAAACCCAGCCUCUUUUCCAUCCACAGCGUACUCUGGCCUCAUCAAGAGCACUGUCAGGGCUUCUACUGCCAGAACGCUGCUUCUAAGGCAGGCCCACGACACUGCCUUCAGGCUGCAUGAAAUGGGCAGACACUCCUGUCCCCAAAGGAGGGAAGGAGCCCUCCCUGUUCCCUGUAGUCCUGUGCUCAGGAAGCCUUUUCUCUGAUCCCCUCUGUGAAAGAUGGCCCACUCUGGAGUUUGUCUUUAUUAUAAGUGCCUGUUUGCAGUACCUGAAGCUGACCUUUAUCUUACCGAGUAGGUACAUGUACUUAACAUAUCUUGAUUCUUUUUAUUCCCUGUCUCCUCCCCACCUACCUGUCUCUAAAUCCUUUUGCCACAAUUUCUGCUCAUUUCCCAUACACAUGUUGACUCACUUUUGUUUUUUGAGACAGGGUUUCACUAUGCAAUUCAGGCUGCUAUGAACUCUUGUAGCCCAGGCAGGCCUCCAACUCAGUGAUCCUCCUGCUUCAGUCUCCCGAGUGCUGGGAUUACAGAUGUGCACCAUCAUGUCCCAUUUUGUUCAUUUUUUAGAAACAAAGGAUUCUGUAGAAUUCAGGGAUGGAGUGAGAUGACAUACUACACAAUCAACACCAGGUCAGUAAAGGAAUGCUGCUUUUUAUGUGUGACCUCAUACUGGGGAUCAAACCCAGGGUCCUGUAUGUGCAAAGCAUAAGCUCUACUACUGAUCUAUACCCUCAGCUCAAUCAUUUAAGAUACUCCUCUAACACAUGAAAUGUGUCUUGACAGGCUUUACACUAAUGUGAAAGAGUCUAGAAAAAAAGAUUACAGAAAUUAAGUAGUCAGCUCUUGGUAUCUAUGUGGGCACUAUACCAAAACCCACAGGUGCUCCAAUUGUUUAUAUAAAACGCUAUCAUGAAAGCCAGGGAUGGUGGUUCAUGGUUCCACUCUCAGGACGCAGGAGGCUGAGGCAGCGGCACCAUAUAUAGUGAGGCUCUAUCUCAAAAAACAAAAAAAAGAAAAACAGGAAAAAAAGGGUACUUGCACAUGAUCUAUGUACACACCUUAAAUCACAUCUAGAUUAUAGCAGGAUAUAAAUGCUAUGUAAAUAGUUGCUAUAUUUGCAAGCUGCAGUAGCACAUGCCUGUCAUUCCCACACUAUGGGAGGCUGAGACAGGAUUCCAACUUUGAGUCCUACUUCAGCAAUUUAGUGAGACUCUAUCUCAAAAAAAUAAAUAAAUAAAUAAAAGAGGUGGAGAUGUAUCCUGCAUUGAAGCUCCUAUCAAACAAAAAAAUGGAUAAAAAUAGGUAUAUAGCUCAGUAGCACAAGUGCCUGGCUGGUAAGCACAAGGUUCUGAGUUCAACUACAAUAUCAAAGGAAAAAAACAGCGUCAUAUUGUACUGUUUAGGAAUAAUGAUAAACAUUUCUGUACAUGUUUAGUACAUAGCUUUGUCCCCUGGUCUUGAUCUGUGAAUGGCUGAGUCAACAGGUAGAACUGUGGAUAUGGAGGUGGCCUAUAUUGUUAUUAACAGGUUUUCUACUGCAGCUUUCAGAGGUAUGGCCUGCUACCAUCCAUAUCACUUUAUUAUGAGGGGAUGGAAAUACAUUUGUUACUAAACUGUCUUGGAAACUGCCGGUCAGCCCUCAGUGCCACAUCACAAUGCUUCUGUGUCAGAAACAACACAGGCAGAUUCAUGCAGUCUUUAUUGAUUUGACAAAUACAGGAAAAUGUGCAAUCAUCUAUCAAAAAUUAUAUUUUACCAAGAAUUUGAAAGGUAUUUUAAAAAGUCAUAUUCACAGUCUAUCUGAAUUCUGCCCAAAGCAGUAUCCACAGGCUUGGAAGCAAGGCAAGGCUGCAUGAGAGAGCGAUCGCACCGAAGCCCGCUGCCCGCAGCUCCCUCCCAGCUGGCCAGACCACUCCGUACUCUGUGCAGCUGGGCUGGGGCUAUUCUUCAGAUCAUAUUUAAAAAAAAAAAAAAGAGUGCCUUCUGGGAAAUCUUUCCUGCUACCCAGACAAGCAGAAGAGCCAGCACCACCACAUUCCAGGGCCAGGGUGGAUCCAGCAUCCAGUUCACAGGCCCCUGGAAAUGGCUUUGACAUUCAAGGAGGGGGUUCUUUUCAGCACUGGGGUGCUUUGAGUUUUGGAAAUCUGAGGCGUUUCCUGCCGGAUGCGGGCUGCUGCAAAGGAAUCAUGCAGAUGAUCCUGAGAUGUGAGCUUGAUGAGUGUUGUUAGUGCGCUCAACUCACUCAGCUCCAGUCAGCGAUUUUAAUGAGGGCCGGGAAGAGCUGAAUCCAUGUUUAAUCUGCUGUUUAGGUAAUUUGAAAAGAGGUGUGAUCUCAAGCAUCACUUCUAGACUCAAAUUUAUAAUGAUGAUAGAGUACUGCUUCCAUUUGAAGGAAAAAACUGAAUGGCUAGUUUGUAAGUCUCUGCCGAAACUCAGCAUUCAAGAACAUCCUUGGGGGAAGGAGAAUGAAGGAAAAACUAGUCUUUAAAUACACACUGCCCAAAAGCAAGUUGAGCAAAAAAUGGUACCUUACUGAAAGGACUGGUUUCUGAAAAAAAGUCAACUAUAUAUCAUCAGUUUUAUAAGCCCUCAUAAACAGUCUGUGAAAAAUGGUUACUGACAGUAUUUUAGAGACAUUAAAGAGGUCAUGCCAAGAAUCGAGGCUCCAGCUACGUUCUCAUGAUGUAUCUUGUGCAUCUUUGUAUCCUCAGACUCCAGCACCAGGCCUGGCACGACAGCAAGUCCUUUUAAAGCGGUUUCUGAGCUCUUUUCCGACUUUAGUAUAUGUGCUGCUGAAGCGAGCGUGUGAGCCCUUUUCCUUACAGGGUCAGUCAUGAAUGUCACACAUGCAAAGCCCAGUUGUAGGGAGGCAGCGGUGGUGGCUUCCUGGAGAUGUCUGUCUCACUUGGAAGACUUCUACUUCACAUCUACACAUUGUGAUCAAGAAUACAUAUUAAGCUGUUAGAGGCCAAGUAAGAACCAAGAACAUAUUAUUCCUUUGGCCAUUUAUUAUAGAAAGAAGGGCUCUUAGAAACCGGAGUUCUAGGAGAUCCAAGAGUUUAACAUAGGAAAACAGCCUUUUUAGUUGUUGUGUAGUAAAGUUGCUGAUUUUUUUCUUUUGCAGUGCUGGGGAAUGCAUGCUAGGCAAGCACUUUCUGUUUUCUUCCAGGUCACCUACAAAACUUCCUGGUCUCCACUUUUUCUCAUUGAGAAAUUUAGUCAUUUAGAGAGCUAUGACACACUGACCAACUGAAAAUCAAAAACCGGAACAAGAGCCCUUCCUCCCUGGCACAAUUCUGAGGUCUUCUGAAUACAGCUGGCAUUAUUCCCUUAGGCACUGCAAGCUCCUCCUUGCAAACACCCUGCAUCCCCAGGCCAGGCCCAGCCACUCAUCAGCUGCUUCUCUCCCCACCGCUUGCUUCUUUUCACUGAACUGGUUGGCUGGCCCGUUGGUUGUACCUUAUUGUUGGUUCUGCCCUCUCACACCAUCCCUCUGCGUGUGAGGCAGAUCCCCUGCAGAACUUUCUGCUGUUUUCUCUGGUGACACUCUGUUUUGCAUGUUGGAAGACUAACACUGUAUUUCAGAUACCGAGAUGUGGUUCAAACCUGAAGACAUAGGAUUACUGCAACCUUUCCACACAGGACAAUAUAUAGGCAAGACUUACACCCGCCCACCCACAUCCUCUUUGUCAUGAAAGAUACAACACAUUUGGGACCCUUAUACCAAUCAGCUACUUUAGGUUACAGCUCCAAAAGUGCUGUGAAUCACAAAUGUUGUGCAGAUGACUCAGCUGCCCCUAUGCUUUAGAGAGGUUCGUACACAUGUUGCUGUUUGAGAGCAGAAAAGAUACAAUCUUGGGAAAGAAGGGGUUAAUGAAAAACAGAUGUCAGGACUACUACCAUCAGCCCCACUCUUUCUUUGUACAUCAUUUAUUUUUCCUGCUCUUCUCAACAGCCUGCCAUGGAUUAGUACCAAUGCCCUACUCCUGAAGCUCUUUUUCUCCUUGAGGCACUAGAGAUUGACCGCAGAGCCUCUCACACGUACUAGGCAAGUAAUCCAGUACUGAGCCACAUCCCCAUGACUGAAAACAAUAUUUCCAACUUCAAAGAGAACCCCCAAAUAGGUCAAAUGACAGUCAAGAAGAGCAAGCAGCAAAGAGGAAAAUCUAGCCUUUCUUCAGCUACAGGAAGAAACAGGUUCUUAUAAAUGCUUAGACUCUGACCAUGGCCAAGGGUUCUCGGUGAUAAAGAAUGCUUGUACCUCAGAGUUCGCUGAGAGGUGCCACAGGUUGCUGGCCCUGUUGAAGUGGUUUUCCUGAUGCAUAAAGCCUGGACAACACAGUAACUUCAGCCAGCACCUCCACUACCCAGCCCACUUCAUGCAAGUACACUGACAGGAGGGCAAUGUAGAUGGGGCCACAAGUGCCCGCUGUAAGGCUCCUUCCCAUCGCCUAGCCGUGAGCUCACCGCAGUUUGACCAGAGGACUCUUCUCGCUUGCCUCAGCAGCUAGUUCUUCUGACUCUCCUGUAGCUCAGCAAGUAAAAUAACAGCUCUCUCCAAACUCUUGUUCUGUACUGAUACAACUGGUUUAUAAGUUUAUAAACCACCAGGGUAUGGCUGCUGAACACUUUACCCCGGUACUGAAAAUUAAACCCAAAGGAGCCAUAUUGCUAGCCCUUUUUAAAUUUUGUGAAAAGGUCACAUUAAGUUGCUCAGAUUGGCCUUGAUCUAGGGAUCCUUCUACUCAGCCUCCUAAGCAGCAAGGAUUUUUUUUCUUUGCAGUGCCAGAGCUGAACCGAGCCUCGGGGGCAUGGAAGGGAAGCACUCUCUCAGUGAAGUACUCUCAGCUGCUAAAUGAAAUUCUAACUCCUGCCAGAGAUAAAGAAAAGCCAGGACAGAAAGUGCUUCACCAGCCAUUUCAUUCUUCUUUAAUUUUACUCUCUUUGGGCACAUUUACUCCUGAAGGAGUUAUGCUGGCAAGGCUGACAGCACUGGUUAACACAUUUUUUUGCACCAAAGAAUAAAAUUCUAGAUUAUCAGGCCCACCUGCUGCCAUGCCAGAGCUGUCUCCUUUGCUGUCGAAGACAACUGCUGUGGGGGGAAACGAAGGAAAAGAUGGGGCAGAGGAGGUGAGCAAACGUGUAAAUACACCUAAAAAUUAGGAACUUGGUGAGAAACCCAGAAUUUACUUCGGGAUAAUAAGGAACCACUAAGCAAUAGUUUCAUUAUUUCCAGAAGUUACUGAACUUGGAACCUGAGGUUAAGGCUUUCAGAAUAAAGGAAAUAAGCUCAAACUGGUAGUGGGAAGAAAUGGGGAGGAUAGACAGGGUACUGGACUGGAGAAUGUUGUUAAAAUCGACCAAUGCAUCUGAUGUGAUGCACAGUGCGGGAGGGAUAUCUUCUUUAAAAAUUAGGUCUGCAGCAAAAAAAAGCGUCUGGGAGUGAAAGCUUGAGCCCCAUUUGACCUUCCCAUUUUGCUACUGGGGCUUGCUCUCUUCCUAGUACCUCCUGAAAAAGUUCAGAAUCCAAUUAAUACAGAUUUAUUAGGUUGACUUCCAACAUGUAGUUUAAGGUAGAGUUCUGUUUGGUUUGAAUCACUUCGUUUAACUUCUUGUUAAUGGUAGUCCUGAGAGUUCGCAACAUUGGUGAAUCUCCUGCAACCAAGGGUCACAUGCUGGUAGAAUCACAGGUAUAGUUUGGCCGUCAUGUUUGCUUGUCCUUGUCCCUCAAAUCUGUAGGUUUUGCACCAAGGGACAUAGUCCACCAUGAUGAAAUAUGCUCAAAGCCAUUUCGAUAGACACCUCCUCCCCAAGGCUAAUAGUGCAGGUGGUCAGGAAAACCUGGAAGAAGCUGCCGAAGUCCAGGAAUUUUUGACUUGGUUAGAUGAGGACACAGGCAAGUCCCUGUGUCCCCCAGAUUUUAUUGUAGUCAGAGGAGAAACAUCCAUGGGAUUCUGAUAGCAAGUAUGCUAGAUAUAAAACUGAUGGAAUGCUAACUGGUCCAUAAAGGGCUGCACAAGGUAAUCUGUGGCAAAGUAGAAAACAAGCCCGAAGGUGAUGGAGAUGGGAAGGGCUGGCAACGCCUUCUUGAAAAUGGCCAGGAGCAACAGUGUAAGGCACAGGCC